Molecule: ribosomal RNA, 484 nt
Filed under: uncultured bacterium
Lineage: Bacteria
Description: partial 16S ribosomal RNA
Rfam family: Bacterial small subunit ribosomal RNA
Source: RNAcentral
AUUGAACGCUGGCGGCAGGCCUAACACAUGCAAGUCGAGCGGAUGAAGGGAGCUUGCUCCUGGAUUCAGCGGCGGACGGGUGAGUGAUGCCUAGGAAUCUGCCUGGUAGUGGGGGAUAACGUCCGGAAACGGGCGCUAAUACCGCAUACGUCCUGAGGGAGAAAGUGGGGGAUCUUCGGACCUCUCGCUCUCAGAUGAGCCUAGGUCGGAUUAGCUAGUUGGUGGGGUAAAGGCCUACCAAGGCGACGAUCCGUAACUGGUCUGAGAGGAUGAUCAGUCACACUGGAACUGAGACACGGUCCAGACUACUACGGGAGGCAGCAGUGGGGAAUAUUGGACAAUGGGCGAAAGCCUGAUCCAGCCAUGCCGCGUGUGUGAAGAAGGUCUUCGGAUUGUAAAGCACUUUAAGUUGGGAGGAAGGGCAGUAAGUUAAGACCUUGCUGUUUUGACGGUACCAACAGAAUAAGCACCGGCUAACUUCGUG